RNAcentral lists this ribosomal RNA (422 nucleotides) under Tremella leucodermiae. Its description in RNAcentral is "Tremella sp. AMM-2022g partial large subunit ribosomal RNA". It matches the Rfam family "Eukaryotic large subunit ribosomal RNA", at positions 1 to 418 of the family's 3401-position model. The record is from RNAcentral. Lineage: Eukaryota; Fungi; Basidiomycota; Tremellomycetes; Tremellales; Tremellaceae.
GACCUCGAAUCAGGUAGGGCUACCCGCUGAACUUAAGCAUAUCAAUAAGCGGAGGAAAAGAAACUAACAAGGAUCCCCCUAGUAACGGCGAGUGAACAGGGAAGAGCUCAAAUUUGUAAUCGGGCGUCCCUUGGGCGUCCGAGUUGUAAUCUAUAGAAGCGUUUUCCGUGCUGGACCAUGUCCAAGUCCCUUGGAACAGGGUAUCAAAGAGGGUGACAAUCCCGUACUUGACAUGACAACCAGUGCUAUGUGAUACGUUUUCUACGAGUCGAGUUGUUUGGGAAUGCAGCUCAAAAUGGGUGGUGAGUUCCAUCUAAAGCUAAAUAUUGGCGAGAGACCGAUAGCGAACAAGUACCGUGAGGGAAAGAUGAAAAGCACUUUGGAAAGAGAGUUAAACAGUACGUGAAAUUGUUGAAAGGGAA